GCUGCAGGAAUUCCCAAUACUAUCGAUACGGGUUGUGGGAGCAAGAUCCCGGAGAUGGAUUCUGAGACAUGAAUCCAGGCCCUACGGGGCGCAGCAGGCGCGCAAACUUUACAAUGCGAGCAAUCGUGAUAAGGAAACCCUGAGUGCCUGUCGAUGCAGGCUGUUCAUAUAUCUAAAUCAUAUGUGAAGAAAGGGCAGGGCAAGACCGGUGCCAGCCGCCGCGGUAAUACCGGCUGCUCGAGUGAUGGCCACUAUUACUGGGUUCAAAGCGUCCGUAGCUUGACUGUUAGGUCUCUUGGGAAAUCUUCGCGCUCAACGUGAAGGCGUCUAAGAGAUACCGGCAGUCUUGGAACUGGGAGAGGUAAACCGUACUUCGGGGGUAGGAGUGAAAUCUUGUAAUCCUCGAGGGACGACCUAUGGCGAAGGCAGUUUACCAGAACAGCUUCGACAGUGAGGGACGAAAGCUGGGGGAGCAAACGGGAUUAGAUACCCCGGUAGUCCCAGCCGUAAACUAU
RNAcentral lists this ribosomal RNA (515 nucleotides) under uncultured Methanocorpusculum sp. RNAcentral's name for it is "bacterial SSU rRNA". It matches the Rfam family "Archaeal small subunit ribosomal RNA", at positions 244 to 761 of the family's 1478-position model. Lineage: Archaea; Methanobacteriati; Methanobacteriota; Methanomicrobia; Methanomicrobiales; Methanocorpusculaceae. The record is from RNAcentral.